UUUGAUUGUCCAUUUGGUACACAAUUGUCAAGUUACUUUCUGUUAUGGCUUUUCCCAAUCCUUAGAUAAUACCCAUUAUGAGUGUGCUCACACUAUAGUGAAGGCCAGCUCCCAUUCCAACAUCAAAUUUUCUUCAAGAACAUAUGUAGUGUUUUGUACACUUGUACAGUUUGCAAUCUUGCUGUAUAUUGUUUGUUAUAACUAUAGUGAUGCUUGGCCUUCUUCUUUGUAGGAAGCUUGCAGACAAAAUUGCAGCUGCUGGCUUCUUUGCCGUGGUCCCUGACUUCUUUUAUGGAGACCCUUAUGUACCUGCAGCUGAUGGAUCCCUUGACUCUCUACCUGCUUGGCUGAAAGGACAUGGAGCGGUAUAGUUCUUCUAUUUUGAUAUGGAUGUAUAAGUUAGUAUCUUCAGAAUUUCAGUGAUGUCACAAGUAUUGCUGUGGGAUUAUCAAAAAUUUACAUAGAAGUUUCAGAUACAUAUUGGUGGUCUCAUGUUGGGCUGUUUGAAGUUGAUGUUUGUGAACUAACUAGUUAGCCCCAUUAUUGUUUUUGUUAAGUUCUUAGCUGCCGGGUUGUUUCUGCCAAUUGUGACAAUGGGUUAAAAUUUGAGGACUUGGUAAUUGUGGUGUAUUAAAAUUGAGAUCUGAUGCAGUCGUGAACUUCGGUUAUAAUUGAUUAGCUUUCAAACCUUGUUAUGUAUUUGUAGGACAAAGGAUUUGAAGAUGUCAAAGUAGUUAUUGAAGCUCUAAAAAGUAAAGGUGUUUGUGCAAUCGGUGCUGUAGGCUUCUGUUGGGGAGGUGAGUUUACAAUUUCUUUUCAGAUAAGGUGGGAUGUACUGGUCGGUUUUGGAUUAAACAAAUUGUUCUCAUAUCUUAGACUAGAUUUUUAGGGGCUUCUCUUUUAGACAGUAUUGUACUUCACAAUCUCAAUUCUGUAGUUUCACCAAUAUGGUAUAUAAUAUUUCAGUUUCAUUGGAUUGUUUUGUCCUGUUCUCAGCCAAGGUUGUAGUUGAACUUGCAAAGGGUGACUUUAUCCAAGCUGCUGUUCUGGCUCAUCCUUCAUUUGUCACUCUUGAUGAUAUCAAGGGUAAGAGUUCCCUAUUCAAUAAUCAGUAUAAUAUUUCAUCAUAGAGGAAGAGAAGAGAUGUGCUGUUCCCAAUCGUGUAAAAGAAAGGUUUAAAGAUGUUUAAUUUAUUCCUGAAACUAUUUUCAGCUGUUAAGGUUCCCAUAUCUAUACUCGGAGCUGAGAUUGAUCGGAUGUCUCCACCUGAACUCGUGAAACAAUUUGAAGAGGCUUUGACCGCAAAGUCUGAGGUAAGAAACUCCUGUCAUCAAAAUUAUAAUACCAUGACCUGAUUGGAAAGAGGCACUGCUGUGGUAUCUGGUAGUUACUACAGUUCUAGGGUUUGAAAUGACUGUUGGUCUAUGGAAUCACAGAUAAAAAGUCAUGUGAAGAUAUUCCCAAAAGUGUCGCAUGGAUGGACUGUGAGGUAUGAUGUUUCAGACAAAGAAGCUGUGAAGCCUGCUGAGGAGGCUCAUAAAGACAUGUUGGACUGGUUUGUGAACCAUGUCAAGUGAAUGGUAUCAUCAUUGUAGUGUUAUAUUGUCACCUAAGAUGAGAACAGUGUGGAUCUUAUGGUUAAAUAAGGGCUACUUUUAAUGUAGCAAUGUUGUUUGUAAAUUUGUUCCUUGGCUUUACUGCAAUGCUUGAACUCCAGUAUAUUUUUCUGUCCUUUAAGAUGAGAAUAGUGUGGUAGCUUAAUAGCUUAUAUAUGUUUUGAAAAUGGUGGUGCUGAUGAAGUAGUAGCUGCUACAUCCAUGAGAUGAAGUUAUUAGGAAAGGUUACAAUGCAGAUUAUGUUCCGCUGGAUUAAAUGGGUUUCUAUAGACUUGGCCGUUGAAAACUCAUAUGAGAUUCCAUUAUUGCGAACUUACAAUAUUAGCAUGUUUCUGAAUUCUGUUCUUUGGAGAAAUGCAUUAUUUGAAUAUCAGUAUCUUUUAUAUCAUUUAAGUUCAGAAAUUCCAGUGAAGCUAAUUUUUCUUUUAUGGUAGAUUGUAGAAUUCUGUUAUAUAUCACUUAUACUUGUAGGCUCCAACUUCUGCUAAGAUAGCGUCAUCGAAAAAAAUCCUGGUAAGAUAGAGUAAAUAUAUUGUUUCUAAUGGGUUUGACAUUAUAUGCUUAGUUUCUUGUACAGCAAAAGAAUCCAAAAUGAUCCACAUCAAGUGAUAAUGAAAUUUGAUCCUUAUAAAUUAUAUCUAGCUCAGAUGAUACUGGUUCGUGAACAUGUCAAACAUGCAGUAUCAUAUUACACGAUGAACAUCUUAAACUCCUUAUAAAAAUAGAGAGAGAACAAAAAAUUAGACUUGUCGGCAGAAGUCUGCCAUGACGUCUGAGGUGAUGCACAUACAUAUGGACUAAAGUGUACUCUGACCAAAAUAGAAUUCCCAAAUGCUGCUGGAAUGUGUAUACUUUUCCAACAUUACUGCAGGUCAAACCUUUGGUUUCUCCUAUAAACAGAGAAAGAGAGUUCUGUGUUAGCUCACUUUGUGAUUCAGACAAAUAGAAAGAAUGUCAGGCCCUGCGUGCUGCUCAAACCCUCCAGCCCUAAAUCCAGCAAGUGGUUCCGGCCAUGUCGAAAAGCUUGCUGGUCUGGACUCCUAUGUCACUGGCUCUCCUGACUCCAAGCUUGCCAUUCUUCUCAUUGCUGACAUUUUUGGUACUCACAUAACACAUCAAAUCUCUCUUCUUUCCUUUUGUUUUGGAAUUUUGCAUAGUUUGUUCAUUAUAUGAUCUGGGUUGCUUUCCUUGUGUGUAUUUGAUUGGUGUUAGUUGUUUUGGUCUAAAGGGUACUGGCCCUAAAGAUUGAUGGGUUCUCUGUGUAGGUUUGAUUGACUUCUACUUGACUUGUUAGCUGAAAUCAGCUUUUGACAUUGUCCCUUUUGCUUUGCCAUGCAGGUUAUGAAGCUCCACUCUUGAGGUAUAUCGACCUUCCCAUAUCUGUUUUUGUACAGUGAAUUUCUUUGUUUGUUUAGUGUGAUAGAUGACAUAUCUGAAUUGGUUUUUCUUGAAUUUGAACCUUUGCUCAUGGUUGUACACUUACCAAAUUUGUACAAUUGCUCAUUACAGUUAUACACUUGAAUACUUACAACCAUUACUCCAUCAGUUUCGGAUUGUUUAACCGAUGUAGCAACUCUCAAUAAAGUUCCCUACUUGUAUACUGUUAAGAGUGUAAUAUGUAAUCUUGUGUUUCCAAGAUUAGCAUUAAAUUUGUUGUCUGCCACGCUAACUAGAGUCCUCUAGAAUUCUCUUUGUAUUGGGACUCUACAAGUCUCUAGAAUCCUAUCCUAGUAUAAAUAAGUUGUCUGUAGCUUUACUGAAGCAGUUGAGUGAAAACCAAAAACCAAGCUCUUUGUAAUUUGCAGGAGCAGCAGCUCUGCAAAACUAAUUGUAAUCUCCCUUCGCUUAAAGCAAUUUUCAGUCACCAAAUUUGUCAUUAGCUAACUAAGCUUCCGCUCUACCCCCAACAAACUACUAAAUUUGAACCUUUGCUCAUGGUUGUACACUUACUAAAUUUGUACAAUUGCUCAUUACAGUUAUACACUUGAAUACUUGCAACCAUUACUCCAUUAGUUUCGGAUUGUUUAACCGAAGUAGCAACUCUCAAUAAAGUUCCCUACUUGUAUACUGAGCUAUUCUUAUGAAAAGCACCACCUGUUUUAGCCUAAAAUUUUUUAUGAGAAAUAAUGAGAAUAGUUCAUCCUUCUAUCUCUUAAACAUUAUAGACUAGUUCAUCUUGGACAUCAGUCAAUUGGGUUUACUCUGAACAUCCUUCUAGCUCUGAACAUCAGAAAUUUUAUUUUCUCAUUUAAAAUAACAUUGUGAAAUGUGUUAUUCAACUGUAAUAAUAUGUGGUUUGCGUGUCGAUCUCCAUGUACAGUCAUAUAUACCCUUUAACUAAUGCCACCUGCCUGCCUUCUGUCUGAAGGAAGCUCGCAGAUAAAAUUGCAGCUGUCGGGUACUUUGUUGUGGUACCUGACUUCUUUUAUGGAG
Molecule: long non-coding RNA, 4049 nt
Filed under: Fragaria vesca (wild strawberry)
Lineage: Eukaryota; Viridiplantae; Streptophyta; Magnoliopsida; Rosales; Rosaceae
Description: long non-coding RNA (FVES_LNC001916)
Source: RNAcentral